CGAAUCAUAAACACUGUAUUUCUAAGUUAACUUAAAUAACAGACGGUUUAGGAGAUGUCAUUAGCUUAACUUGCAUUUCAAAUGCAAUUUAUAAAUAUGAAAUUAAAUCGCAUUUGAGCAAUUUCUCAAAAUGCAAACUGCAACUUAUAAAUAGCCCAAUGAUUCGCAACUGUCCAAGAAAGAAUUUUGGGGGUUCUUUUUUUUCUUUAAUUCCUUGUUGUUCUAAUUGAUUCUUCUUAGUUUAAACCCUAGCUCAUUCUCUCUAGUAUUUUCCUUCGCGCUGCCUAUUUCUCUCUUCGUAUUCAGAACUGGAACAACUUCGUUGCCUUCGACUGUUGUAUCCCGACUUGAGGCAAGACCUAGAAGCUUCCAUGGCUGCAUCUGAACAUGGUAUCAGAGCCAUGGCAACAAAUUGAUCACGCAUUCCACGCUCUCGUGACUGUAAGUCAAUUGUUUCUCAUUCUCUGUAGUCGCUAGGUCGAAUUUAUUCUUCGACGUCAACAAUGGUGGCAAUUAAGAUAGAUCAUACUCAUCCUUUGUUUGUGCAUCCAUCAGACACUCCAAACUCUGCUUUAAUUCCGGUUGAGCUCCAAGGAUCCGAGAAUUAUGGGUUGUGGGGAAGGUCGAUGAGAAUUGCACUCCAAGCCAAGCGAAAGCUAGGGUUUGUUACUGGUGCAUGUGUUAAGGAAUAAUUUCCUAAUGUAUUGCAUGAGGAUUUGGAGACAUGUAAUGCAAUUGUCCUAUCUUGGAUCAUGAACACGGUAUCUCCACAUUUGUUGAGUGGAGUUGCUUAUGCUUCGAAUGCACAUUUGAAACUAAUGGAACAAUAAGAACAACAAGUGAUUUAAAUUUAAAAAAAUGAGAGAUUUUGGAUUACUUAACAGAUAAAGGGGUAUUUUUAAAAGUUUGCUGAUUGUAGAGGUAAAUUUGGCACGAUAGUAUAACAGAUGUUAAAUGUAGACAAUAUAUGAAAGUAGAGGGUAUAUUUGGCCCUUUUUCCAAUUAAAUUUAAUAUAUAUAUAUAUAUACACAUACUAUUAUUUUAAUUUAUUACUUAAUCAUAAUCUACGAUAUAAUAUUAUUAAUUGUAAUCAUGUAGGACCCUAAAAUUUUGAAAAUAGGUGUCAAAAUAGUGCACACUUCUUUAAAGUUCUCAAGAGGCGAGGACGAAAAGAACUUUCAAGUUCCACUCUGCUGUUUUAAAUUUGUUUAGUGAUGAUAAUAGUAUUUGUUUUCUAAAUGUGUUUAAGACUUUUGGAAAUAUUUACUAUUUUUUUCCUGUAAUAAGCGAAAUACCAAAAUAGUUAGUGUUGCAUCCUGAAAUGUGCUAAUUAACACUAUUAGUCUUCAUCCUUGAUGCAAAAAUCACAUAUUUUAUUGUUAAGAGGAAUAAUGACGUGGGUUAGUUAGAUAAUUAGCUAGUGUUAACCCCAAUUUAUUAUGUGGGUUAGUAGUCAGUUAGUUGGAGUUAGUUGUAUAAAUGUAUGUGUACAGUACAUAGCAGAUAUAGUGGAAAAAAUAAAUUUCUCUUCCUCUUCUCUAUUUCUCUCUUCUCUCUCGACCUAGAAGCUUCCAUGGCUGCAUCUCAAUAUGGUAUUAGAGCCAUGGCAACAAAUUGAUCACGCAUUCCACGCUCUCGUGACUGUAAGUCAAUUGUUUCUCAAAAUGUGUUUAAGUCUAGUUUUUUGCUAUUAUAAUAAUCUAAUUCUUUUCCUAUACAUUCUAGUUUGAUUAGAAGUUUGCUUUUGCUAAG
Non-coding RNA from Nicotiana tabacum (common tobacco), 1753 nucleotides. Lineage: Eukaryota; Viridiplantae; Streptophyta; Magnoliopsida; Solanales; Solanaceae. The record is from RefSeq and is a predicted model, not a curated record.